RNAcentral lists this ribosomal RNA (1983 nucleotides) under Triticum aestivum (bread wheat). RNAcentral's name for it is "partial small subunit ribosomal RNA". Lineage: Eukaryota; Viridiplantae; Streptophyta; Magnoliopsida; Poales; Poaceae. The record is from RNAcentral.
AUGUCCGCCUCGGCAUUUCGUCAAACACGUAGUAGGUCGGCCGGUGCGCCCAAUGAGUGCUGCCUCCGCUCGGUCGCCGCUACUCCCGUCCCGCAACUCCGCCGUGCUACUCGCCCGGCAGCAGCAGCUCGCUUGAGAGAAGCUGCCCGCACCCGCCUCCGCGAUGCUCUCAAUCCGCGACGAAGCUCGUGCUCCCCGCUCGUGCCCGCUACUCCGAGCUCGCGCCACUGUGCGCCACCGAGCCUAGUCGCCAUGCUCCCCGACACCCCGAGCGCAAGUAGCCAAGCGCGAGGUGCCGCCCCGCGCCCGCAGCUACCACCGCAGCCUCGAUGCCGCGCUGACCUGCAGGAGCAUCGACGCCGCAUGGCGCUGGCGGUGCCGAUAGCAGCGAGCGCGGGGAAGCAUGGCGGGCGUCGGGGCAAGCAUGCUUGUCGGCUGGGGAUGUGCGAGGCGCGGCAUGGCGCUGGCGGGGAUGGCAGAGGGGUUGAAGCACCAUGGUACAUCACCUACCCAGUGCGUGCACUGGUCGACGGUGUCGGCGUCCGUGGACGUCGUGUUCCUCCUUGCACGCUUUUGUUGUGGUGCUCCCACUCCUGUCUUACUCCGGGUGAAAACUUGAUCUUCGGAUCAGACGAUGACGAUGUUCGUGGUCGUGCCCUUCCUAGAGGCAUCGUCUUUGAGUCCUCGGUCCAACGUGUCCGUCGCACAUCUUUCCUGAUGAUCGCUCCUCGUGCUGCUUAUAUUAACCUUCCCGCUAAAUACCCUCAUAACAGAACCACACCACGAUGUCUUUCACGGGAGAUUGGAUCUGAGCUCUCGCCCCUGCUUUCUCUGUGCUGCCGGCGUCAUGACGGCGUCAACACAGCGAACCACACUCCAGUCAGCUGCACGGCGUCAGGUUAUUCCACCCGAUCUCCUCCCUUCCUGGAACCUCCGCUCCUCCUCGAUCUCGCCCUCCCCCAUCUCCUCUGCGCCCGCCGAUGUGGGCCGCGUCUCCGUGUCCUCGGCCAUGCCGGCGGCAGCAGCGAUGCGGUCUGGCGUCGGCGCCGACGGAGUUCCCGUCUCAUCUCCUUUCCCAUUAAUCCCGUGUUUGGAGUCUGGACCAAGCACGACACACCUCGGUGUUGCACGCCGCGACAAUGCCCGCCCGGGCUCAAACCCCCCCUCCCCCACGAGCUCCUCCUCCUCGACGCGCCGCUCUCUUCGUCCCUUCUCUCCUCUGCUCGCCUCUUGGUCGUAGAACUAGUCAGGGCAGGGGACGACAUGGCCGCCGCUAUGCAGUGUCGUCACCGACGACCGCCAGAGGAGCAGCUUCCCCUGCACGCGCCCCAUCCCGCAGAGCGCGCUCCAGCUCAUGGGCUGCAAGCCACGCCACACCUUCAAGGUGUGUCUUCCCCCAUCUUGCUUGUCCCCCAAUCUGUUAGGCUGACAGCGGUGCAUCAGGUACAGAGACAAUCCCACGGCGGCCUUGUUCGGAACUGGUUCAUGGGUAGGCCGGGUCUUGUUCAGACGUGGCCAGGCCUUGGUGUAGCCUCGUGGGCUGUAGCCUUUUGGGUAGGUUUGGUGUGGCUGGGCAUCAAGGCGUCAAUGCCCUUAGCCACUGACCUCAGCUCCAGCUCAAAGGGCCAGAACAGAGAAGAAGCAGAGCAGCUAGCCUCGGGUGAACGCAGCCAAAAGAACGGCGAUAACCGUAAGAAACAGAAGACAAAACACAAAAUUGGAUCAAAAUCUUACUCGCAAGUAAGCUUUGAGAAGAACAAAACACGUCAAGAGGUUCAAAACAAAGAAACUGAAACUGAAGGUCCACUUUCAAGUGAGCAGAAAAACAAUAUUUUCCAGACCUCAUACAAAGACACUCUGAAAUGCAAGUCAUGGCAGCCUCGUGGGUACGGAUACAUGGCCAAACCUUCAACUGGUUCUCAAAGGUUUCGUAUCCAGAUUGAAGAGCAAGCCUACAGCAGCCACCCAACAGCAAAACUCUGA